GGGAGACUUGGAUCAGAUCGAGCAAGCUGGCGCCCUGUUGGAGGAAGGCCGUUCUUUGGCCACCAAUAACAACAACAAACACUGCCCUUCUCUGGACACUGAGGUCCUCCUUGAAGAGCGGGAAGAGGUUCGUUCAACAGAAGCUGAUGAUGAUGAAGAGGUCUCUGUUACAAAGGGACGUCACGACAGGCUGGGUGAUGAAGAUUUGAACGAUACCCUAGAAUAUCUACCUGACAACAUCCAGGCCGAUCGCCCCUCUGUCUCCGAAUCCAACCCGUGAAUCUCUGUCGGUGAAUCCCGUAUCAGCGGAAUAAUCCUAUGCCGAUUUGUAAUCACUUUUUGGUAAAUUAAUUAAAAAA
Long non-coding RNA from Amblyraja radiata (thorny skate), 359 nucleotides. RefSeq lists it as uncharacterized. The transcript has 3 exons. Lineage: Eukaryota; Metazoa; Chordata; Chondrichthyes; Rajiformes; Rajidae. The record is from RefSeq and is a predicted model, not a curated record.